RNAcentral lists this ribosomal RNA (253 nucleotides) under uncultured bacterium. Its description in RNAcentral is "partial 16S ribosomal RNA". It matches the Rfam family "Bacterial small subunit ribosomal RNA", at positions 524 to 776 of the family's 1533-position model. The record is from RNAcentral.
UACGUAGGGUGCAAGCGUUAUCCGGAUUUAUUGGGCGUAAAGGGCUCGUAGGUGGUUCGUCGCGUCCGGUGUGAAAGUCCAUCGCUUAACGGUGGAUCCGCGCCGGGUACGGGCGGGCUUGAGUGCGGUAGGGGAGACUGGAAUUCCCGGUGUAACGGUGGAAUGUGUAGAUAUCGGGAAGAACACCAAUGGCGAAGGCAGGUCUCUGGGCCGUUACUGACGCUGAGGAGCGAAAGCGUGGGGAGCGAACAGG